This 463-nucleotide ribosomal RNA is filed under the name Metschnikowia sp. (in: budding yeasts & allies). RNAcentral's name for it is "Metschnikowia sp. (in: Fungi) partial large subunit ribosomal RNA". It matches the Rfam family "Eukaryotic large subunit ribosomal RNA", at positions 104 to 655 of the family's 3401-position model. The record is from RNAcentral. Lineage: Eukaryota; Fungi; Ascomycota; Pichiomycetes; Serinales; Metschnikowiaceae.
AAGCUCAAAUUUGAAAUCCCCCGGGAAUUGUAAUUUGAAGAGAUUUGGGUCCGGCCGGCGGGGGUUAAGUCCACUGGAAAGUGGCGCCACAGAGGGUGACAGCCCCGUGAACCCCUUUAACGCCCUCAUCCCAGAUCUCCAAGAGUCGAGUUGUUUGGGAAUGCAGCUCUAAGUGGGUGGUAAAUUCCAUCUAAAGCUAAAUACCGGCGAGAGACCGAUAGCGAACAAGUACAGUGAUGGAAAGAUGAAAAGCACUUUGAAAAGAGAGUGAAAAAGUACGUGAAAUUGUUGAAAGGGAAGGGCUUGCAAGCAGACACUUAACUGGGCCAGCAUCGGGGCGGCGGGGAGCAAAACCACCGGGGAAUGUACCUUUCGAGGAUUAUAACCCCGGUCCUUACUCCCUCACCAUCCCGAGGCCUGCAAUCUAAGGAUGCUGGCGUAAUGGUUGCAAGUCGCCCGUCUU